RNAcentral lists this ribosomal RNA (463 nucleotides) under Vreelandella stevensii. Its description in RNAcentral is "partial 16S ribosomal RNA". It matches the Rfam family "Bacterial small subunit ribosomal RNA", at positions 338 to 795 of the family's 1533-position model. Lineage: Bacteria; Pseudomonadati; Pseudomonadota; Gammaproteobacteria; Oceanospirillales; Halomonadaceae. The record is from RNAcentral.
CCUACGGAGGCAGCAGUGGGGAAUAUUGGACAAUGGGCGAAAGCCUGAUCCAGCCAUGCCGCGUGUGUGAAGAAGGCCUUCGGGUUGUAAAGCACUUUCAGUGGGGAAGAAAGCCUUGGGGCUAAUACCCUCGAGGAAGGACAUCACCCACAGAAGAAGCACCGGCUAACUCCGUGCCAGCAGCCGCGGUAAUACGGAGGGUGCGAGCGUUAAUCGGAAUUACUGGGCGUAAAGCGCGCGUAGGCGGUCUGAUAAGCCGGUUGUGAAAGCCCCGGGCUCAACCUGGGAACGGCAUCCGGAACUGUCAGGCUAGAGUGCAGGAGAGGAAGGUAGAAUUCCCGGUGUAGCGGUGAAAUGCGUAGAGAUCGGGAGGAAUACCAGUGGCGAAGGCGGCCUUCUGGACUGACACUGACGCUGAGGUGCGAAAGCGUGGGUAGCAAACAGGAUUAGAUACCCGGUAGUC